GGUUAAGCGACUAAGCGUACACGGUGGAUGCCCUGGCAGUCAGAGGCGAUGAAGGGCGUGCUAAUCUGCGAUAAGCGCCGGUAAGGUGAUAUGAACCGUUAUAACCGGCGAUACCCGAAUGGGGAAACCCAGUGUGUUUCGACACACUAUCAUUAACUGAAUCCAUAGGUUAAUGAGGCGAACCGGGGGAACUGAAACAUCUAAGUACCCCGAGGAAAAGAAAUCAACCGAGAUUCCCCCAGUAGCGGCGAGCGAACGGGGAGGAGCCCAGAGCCUGAAUCAGCAURUGUGUUAGUGGAAGCGUCUGGAAAGGCGCGCGAUACAGGGUGACAGCCCCGUACACAAAAGCGCAUGUGCUGUGAGCUCGAUGAGUAGGGCGGGACACGUGGUAUCCUGUCUGAAUAUGGGGGGACCAUCCUCCAAGGCUAAAUACUCCUGACUGACCGAUAGUGAACCAGUACCGUGAGGGAAAGGCGAAAAGAACCCCGGCGAGGGGAGUGAAAAAGAACCUGAAACCGUGUACGUACAAGCAGUGG
Molecule: ribosomal RNA, 536 nt
Filed under: Salmonella enterica
Lineage: Bacteria; Pseudomonadati; Pseudomonadota; Gammaproteobacteria; Enterobacterales; Enterobacteriaceae
Description: partial 23S ribosomal RNA
Source: RNAcentral